This 446-nucleotide ribosomal RNA is filed under the name uncultured bacterium. RNAcentral's name for it is "partial 16S ribosomal RNA". It matches the Rfam family "Bacterial small subunit ribosomal RNA", at positions 338 to 795 of the family's 1533-position model. The record is from RNAcentral.
CCUACGGGAGGCAGCAGUCGAGAAUCAUUCACAAUGGGUGAAACCCUGAUGGUGCGACGCCGCGUGGGGGAAUGAAGGUCUUCGGAUUGUAAACCCCUGUCAUGUGGGAGCAAAUUAAAAAGAUAGUACCCCAAGAGGAAGAGACUGCUAACUCUGUGCCAGCAGCCGCGGUAAUACAGAGGUCUCGAGCGUUGUUCGGAAUCACUGGGCGUAAAGCGUGCGUAGGCUGUUUCGUAAGUCGUGUGUGAAAGGCGCGGGCUCAACCCGCGGACGGCACAUGAUACUGCGAGACUAGAGUAAUGGAGGGGGAACCGGAAUUCUCGGUGUAGCAGUGAAAUGCGUAGAUAUCGAGAGGAACACUCGUGGCGAAGGCGGGUUCCUGGACAUUAACUGACGCUGAGGCACGAAGGCCAGGGGAGCGAAAGGGAUUAGAUACCCCGGUAGUC